RNAcentral lists this non-coding RNA (109 nucleotides) under Coprococcus eutactus. RNAcentral's name for it is "TPP sequence". It matches the Rfam family "TPP riboswitch aptamer (THI element)". From Rfam's summary of the family: Vitamin B(1) in its active form thiamin pyrophosphate (TPP) is an essential coenzyme that is synthesised by coupling of pyrimidine and thiazole moieties in bacteria. The previously detected thiamin-regulatory element, thi box was extended, resulting in a new, highly conserved RNA secondary structure, the THI element, which is widely distributed in eubacteria and also occurs in some archaea. Lineage: Bacteria; Bacillati; Bacillota; Clostridia; Lachnospirales; Lachnospiraceae. The record is from RNAcentral.
GAUAUAAGAAUGGGGAGCUGGCGAGUUAACCGGCUGAGAGGGGGCUGAACGCUUCGACCCACAACCUGAUGCGGAUAAUGCCGCCGUAGGGAUACGUUUGAUACAUACA